Molecule: ribosomal RNA, 489 nt
Filed under: uncultured bacterium
Lineage: Bacteria
Description: partial 16S ribosomal RNA
Rfam family: Bacterial small subunit ribosomal RNA
Source: RNAcentral
GAUGAACGCUAGCUACAGGCUUAACACAUGCAAGUCGAGGGGCAGCAUGAUUGAAGCUUGCUUCAAUCGAUGGCGACCGGCGCACGGGUGAGUAACACGUAUCCAACCUGCCGAUAACUCGGGGAUAGCCUUUCGAAAGAAAGAUUAAUACCCGAUAGUAUAGUAUUUCCGCAUGGUUUCACUAUUAAAGAACUUCGGUUAUCGAUGGGGAUGCGUUCCAUUAGAUAGUUGGCGGGGUAACGGCCCACCAAGUCAACGAUGGAUAGGGGUUCUGAGAGGAAGGUCCCCCACAUUGGAACUGAGACCCGGUCCAAACUCCUACGGGAGGCAGCAGUGAGGAAUAUUGGUCAAUGGACGAGAGUCUGAACCAGCCAAGUAGCGUGAAGGAUGACUGCCCUAUGGGUUGUAAACUUCUUUUAUACGGGAAUAAAGUGGAGUAUGCAUACUCCUUUGUAUGUACCGUAUGAAUAAGGAUCGGCUAACUCCGUG